RNAcentral lists this ribosomal RNA (445 nucleotides) under uncultured bacterium. Its description in RNAcentral is "bacterial SSU rRNA". It matches the Rfam family "Bacterial small subunit ribosomal RNA", at positions 354 to 796 of the family's 1533-position model. The record is from RNAcentral.
GUGAGGAAUAUUGGUCAAUGGACGAGAGUCUGAACCAGCCAAGUAGCGUGAAGGAUGAAGGUUCUAUGGAUUGUAAACUUCUUUUAUACGGGAAUAAACGGAUCCACGUGUGGAUUUUUGCAUGUACCGUAUGAAUAAGGAUCGGCUAACUCCGUGCCAGCAGCCGCGGUAAUACGGAGGAUCCGAGCGUUAUCCGGAUUUAUUGGGUUUAAAGGGAGCGUAGAUGGGUUGUUAAGUCAGUUGUGAAAGUUUGCGGCUCAACCGUAAAAUUGCAAUUGAUACUGGCAGUCUUGAGUACAGUUGAGGUAGGCGGAAUUCGUGGUGUAGCGGUGAAAUGCUUAGAUAUCACGAAGAACUCCGAUUGCGAAGGCAGCUUACUAACCUGUAACUGACAUUGAUGCUCGAAAGUGUGGGUAUCAAACAGGAUUAGAAACCCCAGUAGUCC